Long non-coding RNA from Carassius gibelio (silver crucian carp), 5558 nucleotides. RefSeq lists it as uncharacterized. The record is from RefSeq and is a predicted model, not a curated record. NCBI's taxonomy places the organism in Eukaryota, Metazoa, Chordata, Actinopteri, Cypriniformes, Cyprinidae. The transcript has 5 exons.
CGUUAUGACAAGGCAUGGAGGAAGGUGCCUCUGAGUUACUCAUUACAUUCUUUCUGUCCCAUCAUUGCUGCCUUCCUCAUUACCAGGCUAAUUUCUCCAGGCUCUCUGUGCCACUGCCGUCACACAAUGGAGCCUUUGUGUGUGAAAACACGUGUGUGUGUGUGUGUGUGUGUGUAAGAUGGCUGAGCUCUCAUUCAACUGAAAUGCAACUGUGGUUCAACCUGACCCCAGCAGGUAUUCCUUUUAGCCAUCUGUAAUGCUUUAUGUUCUCACUGUCGCCCUCGAAACUUGUGCAAAACGGUCACCCAAGUGUGUUUCUCUUUCUUUAGUGGGAACUUGUUUGUGGUGAGGUCACCUACCAGCCAAAACGGUUACAGCUAAUUGUCCAGCUGAGCAGAUUCUUUCCCCCGGCCGCAGCAGAACACAGAGGCUCAAGUCCAUUUUCCUGUCUGUUGGAGCUAAAUAGGACUCAGCAACUGACUGAACAGGGAACAGAGAGACAGAAAUAAAGAGCGGCAACAAGGAAGUCUGGAAGGGAGACAGAGCGGCAAGUCGGAUAGCAAAAAGUGGAGGAAAAAAUAAAACAUAAGUUAAGGUGGGUGAGGGCCAAACAAAAUGCAUUGCUGCUGUUCUCGUUCUCAUACAGUCUCCUGUUUAUAAAUAAGUAGUACCGCUGUUACUCCCCUGUCGAGUCGAUUAUAAUGGAAUGUUAAGUCUGUGUUUUCAGGGGAAACGCCACACCAAAAACUUCCCAGCAUCCUUUCUGCUUAGCAAAUGGUGACGCAUCAUACUGCUGACACAAGUCAGCUGAUUUCUGUGUCACGGCAGUGGUUUUAGGCGAGUGGCAGUGCUCCGGCUACAGACGUAGAGACUUUUUUUUCUCCCAGACGCACUGCGGCACAGCCAGACGACUAGAGUGGAGGCACAGGAGCUCACAGCUGCAGUCUACUGGCUUGUUUCGGGGAGGCAGAGGAGCCGAGCACUACCGCCGCUCUUCUACUUUUUGCUGUUGAAGGGUAAUUUUAAUCGGGGAAGAGCAUUCGAAGAGAGUAGAGCUCCAAAAAAUAAGACAAACUCUGAGUCAAACAACUUGGAAUUAACGUCGGUCUCAUUUAUGGACAGAAAAUUUGGAGAAGCGAGCACGGAUCGUGAUUUUUUGGGGUGCUGCUGACGGCAUCGUCUACAAGUACCGGACCAGGUUCCCAGGCUGAGACAAGUCACUGAUAAAAGCUUGGAUUCCAGUGCGUCACCGGUCCGUCCCAUCAUAAACUCGUCCCACCCGAGACGUCCAGUCCGCUGGGCCUGACUGCAUUCCCGUUCGCAUUGACUGGCCAAAGUUGCCGCUCCACUCCAGGGUUAAGGUGGCUUUUGGUCCCAGACUUAGUCCUUGUCCAGAGGGCAGGGCAGAGGCGAACAGAAACAGCGACGCGGCAGCUAAGCUGAGCUCAACCAGACAGACGCAGUGACCUAAAUCAGCCCCAGUCAUGUCUGGACGCAGCCAGAGCGAAGCAGACAGAGAGGAAGACAGAGCGAAAGAGAGAGAGAGAGAGGGAAACAGCGACCCACACAUACUGACUUGAACAUAUACUCACACUAUGGGAUGGAGAGAAAUUAAGGAGGCUGUAAGGGGAGGGGGAGACAGAGUUGUCUCUCUCUCCCUCUCUCGCUCUUUUUUCGCCACCGCUUUAUUUUGUUCCAUUUGCUGGUGUUUAUAUUCACCGUAUGUCUGCGCUGAAUACUGCACAUCGAAACGUAGAGUCGCCGUCCCCCUCACCUCCCCGUUUGCACUUUUGGGUCCAGUAAACGGCUGGAUAAAAGGCGGGCUGAAGUGAGUUGGUCAGAAAGGCCUUGCCAAACCCACAGUCUGGUCUGCUGCUUUGCUACCGCUGUGGUGUUUUGAUGUGCGCUGCUGUGCAGAUGCAGUUUCUGGGCGAUCACCAACAAGCUACCGUACAGAAGGAGACUUUAGUAAAGUAAGGAAUAUCUUUCAAGGUUAGUGUCAAAUCCUAAGGGCACCGUGAUCCAGCUGUUGCUUUAUAGCACAUAUUCAGAUUGCCGGGCCAUGUGGCAUCUGUCCCUGCUUGCUCCGCCAAAAACAGUUCAACAGAAGAGAGGAUGCCCUUGUAAAAAAUGUUGUAUUGAAUGUACAUUUGUAGUGUAUUUUAAAUUGUAAAAGUAUAUAUAUAUAUAUAUAACUUGCAAAUAAUUUUCCAACAAUUAAGCAGCUCUUUACAGCAGAUGGAGCUUGUGAAUUAAUUCUGUUCUGACAUUUUAUAUCAAUUUCCAUAAUAGUAUUAAUAUAUAUAUAUAUAUAUAUAUAUAUAUAUAUAUAUAUAAAUAUGGGUACAUUAUUUCUGUGCUCCAUUAAUGAUGAAAGACUAGAGACACCUCUGAUUGUUGAAGUAAGUACUCUUUUUAAAAGUAUGCUAAAGUGUAGUUAUUUUUCAAGGGUGUGCAUGUUCCAACUUAUUCCCUUUAAUUGAUAAGGACAGUCAAAUUCUUCCUUACACUAGAAAUCUACUGGACUUCCUCAUGUUCGUCCAAUUACUAUGCUUACCAGUGUUUUAUAUUUGCAGUCGGAUCAGUUUGAAUGCCCACGUCUGCAGACGGAAAUGCAUGAGCCAGCCUUCAGAUGACCUCGCACCAUAUCGUUCAGCUUAUACAACAAGUCCAUUAUGGGUAUUAUUCAGUAGUCUAGCCUAACAGAUACCGGCUGCUCCAACUAUAUGAUGCGCGCUGUGUUAUUGUGUUCUGCCAGUCUGCAGCGCACGAAUAAACACUUCACCAGACUGAUGAAAAGACCCCAAAACCAUAAGAACAAAAUGUACAAAUAGGGACAGAAAGCAAAGGCAAUAAAUCUGAAAGCAUUGAGAGCUUCCUGAGAACAGACAAGCAAUGAAAGGUUAUUCAGACACCUGUUCGGUUUGAAAAUAUGACUUUUCUUUCACACUUUUUUAUUUUAUUUUAUUUUUGCAAGCCUUGCAAUACAAGAGGUCGGGAUUGUUGCCUAUAACCUACGAAAAAGAGAGAGCGAUGCUGUCAUUGAAGUGCAGGGCCUAUGAGGGUCUAUAUCACUGGUUGUUUAUGUGUUGAUCUGCCCGGAGGUGGUCCACCAUCAAACCGAAUUCAAAAGAAGUCCCCUCUGCUUGAUCUUAUCACAAAUUGCAUGGAGCCCCGUGCUACUGGAGCAGAAUGAUUGGUGCUGCAGGGCCAAACAUCCUCCCUGCUCUCCAUCAACGGAGAGUAGGACAAAAUGUUUUCUACAACAUGAGUUCUGCUUGCACAAGCAACACAUAAGUCACCUCUGCAUAUAAACACAUACUGACACAGAAACACACCCCCAUGUUGUUCACUUCGAGUAAGAUUCUGUAUGUAAGUUAUACAUAGUGAGUUCAAUUACUUUCUGAGUGAUGCAUUACUACAUACUGUGUUCAAGAAAUUUGCUUAUUACUGUUGUUUAAAAAUGAUACUAAAGGCUACAGCACAUGAGAUGACAAACUCUGUUGUUCACAAUCAAGCAUUUUUCUUCUUUAUUUCAGUAAGAAAAUCCUGCUCCAGUGUGGCACAAGUCAUGGAGGAAGACAGGGCUUUGGAAGGAGAAAGAAAACCUUUGUUUUUGUUUUUCUGUCCAUGGAGAAGUAUGUGAAGGCAUUAAUUGAUAAUGUCUCUCCAAGAAACAUAAAUGUUGUUGGGAAAGCUAUUUAUUAGCUUGCCAAGGUAGUUCAACUCUAUAAGAAAGCAAGCAAAAAGAACUUAUCUAUAUCGACUGAAGCUACUUAGUUCAUUAUUCACUCACCCUCGUGUCAUUCAAAACCUGUAUUUCUUUUCUUCUUCUGUGUGACUUUUGGGUUUUGAAAAUCAGUAGGAACCAAAGAGUUUUUGUAACCAUUGACUACCAUUAUCUGGUCUAAAAAAAACAUACAUUUAUCAAAAUAUCUUAUUUUUGUACAAUGAGAGUAAACAUAUCAAACAUACACUACUGAUUAAAGUUUGGGUGUCGCUAAGAUAAUUAGUAGUAGUAGAAAUAUCUUAUGUCUUUAAUAUUUUUAUUCUCACCAAAGUGAAAUUUAAUGUUAUAAAUUGUAAUAUUUAAACAUCACAAUUUAAACACAUAACACAUUGUUUCCGUUUACGCCUUUAAAAAUAAAAUUUAUUCCUGUGCACAGUAAUAUUUAUGCUGUAUAAAUAGAAAUAAGCCAUAGAUGCAAUAAUUAUGCUCCAUACUUUUAAGUGGUUGUAUACAUUUUAAUAAAAAUAAAUAAAAACUAGAAUACAACCUAAUUUGUAUAACUUAACAGCAGCAUUUACCCAAAUAUUUUGAUAGAAUUUUUUUUAUUUUUUUUUUAUUUAUUUUUUUGCUGUUCAUUCACAAGACUGCUCUACUGUCACUGAUUAAUGCAGUUAAGUCAUUGUCACUGUGGAAUACGAUAUGUGUCUGAACAUUCCCUAUGCUGGUGUAUUUUUCCUUAACACCAAUGCCUCUCUUACACUCAUAACCCUACGUGCCACAUCCUGCAAGAGGAUUUUAAAGAUUCCGUGCAAUUUUCAAUAAUGUUCCGCGGGUCCAAUAACUCCAGGUCCACAGAGGCCACUGAAUCAGCAUUUCAAAGAGAAACUCCUUUCCACAAAGACCUUUCAAUUGAAAUAGUAAUCGAAAAAAAGUUUCUUCUUCCCAGUCUUAUGGGCUCAACUCUGAUUGACCCCUCUCAAUCUGUGCCUCUCUGUUGUAAAGAACAGGCAUAAAAUAAGUCAGAGUUAAUAGAGUUUAAGACUAAAAGCCAAACCGCAUUGGAAUAGGAAGAAGAUGGAAAGAGUCAAGGGAGGGAGAGGGACUGAGGCAGAGAGAGAUUGAGCAAAGAGAGAAGAGAGAUAGAGAGAGAGAGAUCCCUAAGGGAUGGGGAUUGGGUCUGGGCUGCCUGAGGACAGUCUCGCCUCUAAUUGGCUGAAUGCCUCCGCUCGGAAUUCCCACAAUGCCUUGUGUUUCAGUGACUUUCUCUAAACUCUCAGUGGACUCUUCAAGGUUACCGUCACUCUUCCGUGUUAUCGCUGCACUCUAAGCCACUGUAGAAAAUCUGUUUUCAGCGUAGCCAUGAAGGAUUUCUGAGAAUAGCUGAAUAUUCAAAACCAAAAUGGGUGAUCAUUCGCCUCAAAUGACACACAUACAGCUUUUUCAACUUUUGUGAUAUAUUUCACUCAGCACCACAAUAAAACAGGCAUUGGGUGAAUAUAAAAUCGGAUUAGAGUGAAACAUUGAAGGUGAACAAUAACUAGAUUUUCUUAUGUAUAUGUUUUGUUUUUACAGCCGUCAGCGUCGUGCUGCGACUGAAUUGUAUCUGCAUUAAUCUUGCCGUCUUCCUCACAAACAGACUGUUGUAUGUAUCAAAUAAAGAGGAUGUAAUGAAAAGCAUGCCCUUGAAUCCUACAGCCACCGAGGUGUCUUUUCACUUCCAUUGCUGCACAGAGAAUCUGCCUUUUUGCUUUCCUUCCAGCAUCGCCAAAGAUAACCGAAUAACAUCUUGUGUGAAUCAAAGUGGAAUCAAAUAAAGAAAUCAUCUCUA